RNAcentral lists this ribosomal RNA (351 nucleotides) under Triticum aestivum (bread wheat). RNAcentral describes it as "partial small subunit ribosomal RNA". The record is from RNAcentral. Lineage: Eukaryota; Viridiplantae; Streptophyta; Magnoliopsida; Poales; Poaceae.
AUGCCUACCAAUAGCAUCGGCAAGUGUUGCUUCCCCAAACUACAGAUUGUUGAUCCCCGCAAAGCAUCAGCAAGUGUUGGUCUACCCAAACUACAGAUUGUUGAUUUUAUUACAUUCGCACCAUCCCCUUUUGGAAAUAAUAAACAUGGACGUAGUUCUUAUUUUAUACGAGCUCGGCCAUCUCCACUGUUACAUGCUGAACAUAUGCCUACCAAUAGCAUCAGCAAGGGUUACUUCCCCAAACUACAGAUUAUUGACCCCCCCCCCCAAAGGCCCGCAUCAGCAGGUGUUGGUCUCCCCAAACUACCGACUCUUGAUUAUUACAUUUGCAGCAUCCCCUUUUGGAAAUAA